Molecule: long non-coding RNA, 1771 nt
Organism: Balaenoptera acutorostrata (minke whale)
Lineage: Eukaryota; Metazoa; Chordata; Mammalia; Artiodactyla; Balaenopteridae
Exons: 4
Source: RefSeq, a predicted model, not a curated record
AAGGAUUACAAAAUCGGGUAAGCAACUACAUCAUGGACAUGGCAGCCCUCCAAGACAACUUCAUUAUCAUCUGUAAGCCUUAUGAAUGGCCAAGUAACCACAGAAGCAGCUGAGAACACUAGAGUUGCCUCAUGGUCCUCUUAAGAAAGUAAUGCACAAAAACCACAAAACGAAGGGAUGACAUUCUUCCUAGAGCCUUCAAGGCAACCGAUGGAGAGGUCUGACCUACUGAGGAAAUGAUCUUAUGGACCCUAGAUCAAAAGACUGGAAAUGAAGCCAAAGACCCAGGGGGAACCUUGCAGCGAGAAGCCCACUGAUGUCUGCCCUUUGUUUCCAUCACCACCCUUGGAUGUCAUUUCCUGUUUUAACCAUAUGUGAGCAAGGUCUUACAGUUGGGAGGACUUAGAAGGCAACAUUCUCAUGGAAGGGAUUACUUCAGUGACGAUUAUAAAUUCAACUGGACAGACAGGCGGCAGACAUCAACAAAGAGGACAAGAAGGAAAAACAUAUGAGAGGACCAAUUGUGAUGCAUGGAAAACUCAGAGGCCACCUGGAACAUUACUAGUUUUAUUCAACAGCUGGAGAAAGACAAUUCGAUGACAUUCAUCUCUCGCAGAGCCCAGGCUGACCUGCUUCUCUCCCUCCUCGCUCCCCAAUGAGGAGCAGUAAUAAAAGCUCAACAGCUCUAAAAGCAAUCGAUUCAGAAACGGUGUGGUGCAAUUACAGCCAGGAUGGCAGCAAAGACUUCCAGUAAAAUAAAAGAAAGACAAAUACAAUCUCUGCAGUGGGACUGGCCUCCAUUGCACAAGCAGCCCUCUGGUCAUAAAGAGGCACCAUGCGGUGCCUUGUGUGAUGGAGGAGGUCAGCAGCUGGACAGCAAGGGCCCAGGGAGGAGAUGGUCCCUCUAAGAGCCCACUGGAUUGUGGAUAGGCUGAUUGUUCCAAGGUAACAGCUCCAACUCUUCUCUACUGGACCUGCGACCUCUUAAUAGAUUUUUAUGUUGCUUUCCAUACAAGGUUUCCUGCUACACAAUACCUUUCCCAUUACUUUCUAAUACAAGCCCAUCCCUCCCAUCCACCUCUAUGAAGUGAAGCUAGGGAAGCUGAAUCAUUAGAGCAUCCAUUCAUUCUGGGCUUCCAAAGCCCUGAGAGUGGCCUUAGCAAUGUGUUCACUAGGCCUUAUCUUUUUUGUAAAAUUGGUAAAGCAAGAUAUUUUAACUGCAGUAGGUGAAGACCCUAAUACCUUUCACCUCUAAUCUCCCCUCCAUCACAUGCCCCCUUAUGUAGGGAGGUAAUGAAGUGGCAGUCAACGUAUUUGGGAUCUAACUAAUGGGAAGUCGAGUUGGGAUACACUUAGUUCUUUGAUGGGAUAUCUUCAUAUAGUUCACAAUAUGUCUUUGCAGAAUUAAAUUUUUGCUCACUUUCCAGGUGUAGAAAUGGAAUAGUCUGACCACUCCGUUGCUGUAUGACCCAGUGAUCUUGAUAGAAUUUGCCCAAAGUUGAAACAAUCCUUAAAAAUUCACUUGACUUUACCAACAUAAACUUUUAAAAACUGUUAAUAAUAAAAAAAAAAAAUACAACAUUUGAUCAACCAAGCAAGAGGAAAGGCUGAAUUACCCUUCUAUUUUAUCUGUAGAAAAUGAUAUUACAAAAUGUCAUGAAAAGGCAUUCAAAGAGAACAGAAAUAAUAUUGUAGGGAAAACAUAUCAAAGAAGUGUGUCAAGCAGUUACCUUUAAAAAGUAGGUUAAUUGUAUGCAUUUCUGUAAUUAUG